This 277-nucleotide ribosomal RNA is filed under the name uncultured bacterium. RNAcentral's name for it is "partial 16S ribosomal RNA". It matches the Rfam family "Bacterial small subunit ribosomal RNA", at positions 30 to 307 of the family's 1533-position model. The record is from RNAcentral.
AUUGAACGCUGGCGGCAUGCUUUACACAUGCAAGUCGAACGGGGUGAAGGGGCAACUCUUCAUUCAGUGGCGAACGGGUGAGUAAUGCAUCGGAACGUGUCCCGUAGUGGGGGAUAACUCGGCGAAAGCCGAGCUAAUACCGCAUAUGCUCUGCGGAGGAAAGCAGGGGACCUGAAAGGGCCUUGUGCUAUGGGAGCGGCCGAUGUCCGAUUAGCUGGUUGGUGGGGUAAUGGCCUACCAAGGCGACGAUCGGUAGCUGGUCUGAGAGGAUGAUCAG